Molecule: ribosomal RNA, 495 nt
Filed under: uncultured bacterium
Lineage: Bacteria
Description: partial 16S ribosomal RNA
Rfam family: Bacterial small subunit ribosomal RNA
Source: RNAcentral
GACGAACGCUGGCGGCGUGCCUAAUACAUGCAAGUAGAACGCUGAAGGAGGAGCUUGCUUCUCCGGAUGAGUUGCGAACGGGUGAGUAACGCGUAGGUAACCUGCCUGGUAGCGGGGGAUAACUAUUGGAAACGAUAGCUAAUACCGCAUAACAGUAGAUGUUGCAUGACAUUUGCUUAAAAGGUGCAAUUGCAUCACUACCAGAUGGACCUGCGUUGUAUUAGCUAGUUGGUGAGGUAACGGCUCACCAAGGCGACGAUACAUAGCCGACCUGAGAGGGGGGUCGGCCACACUGGGACUGGGACACGGCCCAGACUCCUACGGGGGGCAGCAGUAGGGAAUCUUCGGCCAUGGACGGAAGUCUGACCGAGCAACGCCGCGUGAGUGAAGAAGGGUUUCGGAUCGUAAAGCUCUGUUGUAAGAGAAGAACGAGUGUGAGAGUGGAAAGUUCACACUGUGACGUUAUCUUACCAGAAAGGGACGGCUAACUACGUG